UACGUAGGGUGCAGGCGUUGUCCGGAAUUAUUGGGCGUAAAGAGCUCGUAGGCGGUCUGUCGCGUCUGCUGUGAAAACUCGGGGCUUAACCCCGGGCCUGCAGUGGGUACGGGCAGACUAGAGUGCGGUAGGGGAGACUGGAAUUCCUGGUGUAGCGGUGAAAUGCGCAGAUAUCAGGAGGAACACCGGUGGCGAAGGCGGGUCUCUGGGCCGAUAUUGACGCUGAGGAGCGAAAGCGUGGGGAGCGAACAGG
RNAcentral lists this ribosomal RNA (253 nucleotides) under uncultured bacterium. Its description in RNAcentral is "partial 16S ribosomal RNA". It matches the Rfam family "Bacterial small subunit ribosomal RNA", at positions 524 to 776 of the family's 1533-position model. The record is from RNAcentral.